Molecule: ribosomal RNA, 253 nt
Filed under: uncultured bacterium
Lineage: Bacteria
Description: partial 16S ribosomal RNA
Rfam family: Bacterial small subunit ribosomal RNA
Source: RNAcentral
GACGGACGGUGCAAGCGUUGCUCGGAAUCACUGGGCGUAAAGGGCGCGUAGGCGGCUCGGAAAGUCGGUCGUGAAAGGCUGGGGCUCAACCCCAGGACUGCGUCCGAUACUUCCGAGCUGGAGGCAGGUAGGGGAGAUCGGAAUUCCUGGUGUAGCGGUGAGAUGCGCAGAUAUCAGGAGGAACACCGGUGGCGAAGGCGGAUCUCUGGGCCUUGCCUGACGCUGAGGCGCGAAAGCUAGGGGAGCGAACAGG